Molecule: long non-coding RNA, 4166 nt
Filed under: Hordeum vulgare
Lineage: Eukaryota; Viridiplantae; Streptophyta; Magnoliopsida; Poales; Poaceae
Description: long non-coding RNA (HVUL_LNC004285)
Source: RNAcentral
AGUAGCAAUUGCCAUGAGGAGGCUGGCAUCUGGGGAUUCACAGGUGUCGGUUGGAUCUGCUUUUGGUGUGGGGCAGUCUACUGUCUCCCAAGUCACAUGGAGGUUUAUCGAGUCAAUGGAAGAGAGAGCUCGGCAUCAUUUGGUGUGGCCGAACCAGCAGAGGAUGGAGGAGAUCAAAGCUAGGUUGGAGGCUGUCUCUGGUCUACCGAAUUGCUGCGGUGCCAUUGAUGCCACACACAUUAUCAUGACGCUUCCUGCUGUUGAGUCAUCUGAAGACUGGUGUGACCCUGCGAAGAACUACAGUAUGUUCCUGCAAGGUAUUGUUGAUGAUGAGAUGAGAUUUAUUGAUAUUGUCACCGGUUGGCCAGGCAGCAUGACAUUCUCACGCUUGUUAAAAUGCUCCGGGUUUUACAAGCUCUGUGAGGCUGGGAAACGCUUGAAUGGUCCUGUCAGAACUUCGGGGGAGGAUUCAGAAAUAAGGGAAUUCAUUGUUGGUGACAUGUGUUAUCCUCUACUGCCAUGGCUUAUGACUCCGUACCAAGGAGAAAGUCUAUCUACCCCAAUGGUCAACUUUAAUACCCAGCAAAAAACUGCAAGGAUGCUUGGAACAAGAGCAUUGGCACGUCUGAAAGGUUCCUGGAAGAUCUUGCACAAAGUCAUGUGGAGGCCUGAUAAAAAUAAGUUACCGAGUAUCAUCCUGGUGUGCUGUCUGCUUCACAAUAUAAUACUGGACUGCAACGACGAACUGCUUCCGGAUAUUCAGCUUCCAGAUCAUCAUGAUAAUGGUUAUAAUGGAGAGAACUGCCAGCAAGAGAAUCCUAAUGGCAAAGGAAUUAGAGAGAUCAUUACAGGACAUCUCCCAAUUUAUGAAGCAAUGUUAAACUGAAUUAAGCUGGAUGGAAGCAUUGUUGGAGAUGAGAUGAUGUGUCUUUGUUCUAUUGUUAUUUCCCUCAGUUAUCCUUAAUGUUCAUGUUCUAGUUUAAUCAGACCUGAUGGUUACAGUAAAGAUUCUGCAUGAAUGGUGUGAUCUAUUCAUUUAGUAAUUAUCUACUUUGAAAUACAUGUUGAGUUAAUUUUCUCCUGAUGAUGACAAUCCUUAUCAUGUUGAGUUUCAUAAUCUUUCCGAGGUCAAUUGUUUUGAAUCAAGGAAAUCAUUGUUUUUUUCUUUAGAAAAUGGGCAAAUGAAUCAUCUUUGAGGCGUUAUUGUUAAGCUUCAUGCACUAGCCAACGCCAACCAAAAGUACGAAUUCAUGGAAAGGGUUAGGCAAUCCACAUAUACACUUCAAUACCGAGGUAUGGCUCAAGAGGCCUAUAUGUGGACACAAAGGGGGGCAACAACAAUUUUUAGAUAAAUUGCGAAAGCCAGGACUUGAACUCAAGACCUUAGCUCCGAUACCUUGUUAAGCUUCAUGUAUUAGCCAACGCACCCAGAAGUCUGAACCCAUGAAAAGGGCUAGGCAAUCCACAUGUACACUUCAAUUGUCAUUAGCUACACAAUUUUAUUGUACAUAUGAUAACUGAGUCCAUGCUAGAUAAUUAUUUAAACAUGAGUUCUCCAGCCCUUUUAGUGGGUACUGUCUACUGUCCAUGACAUGUUAUGCUGUGGACAGUACUAGUGACGAAUGCUUCGUUGCCUCAUCUUUGGUAGAUUACUAGGCCACAAUUUCUAAUUUAUGAGGUUUGGUGUUUGACAUGCCUGAUGGCGUUUUACUGAACUUCUGAGGAUAAAGCUUAACGUUCCAUAAAUUACAUUUUCUUUUGGUGAUUUGCUAUUAUUUUGCUGAAUACACCUUCUUCGGUUCUAAAAUCCUUGCGUGGCAAGUGUUUUUGUGUGUCAUGACUCAUGAAUACAUCUUCUUCGGUAGCACACUUGAUAUAGUCAGAGAGGAAGUGAAGCCUUUCUUUCGAGCUUCUUAAUAAGAUUGAUGCGUAUGCCAGUAGUAUUACACUAGAACUAUUUGGAUUACCACAAUUGAUUCAAAUAAUCUUUUCUGUAAGGUAUGAUGGAAUCUGAUACUAAUGUAGGAGCUAGAAUUCAUGAUAAUCUACUUGUCCAGAACUUCUUUUAUUUGUGCUUCUAUUGCUGAACUUGAAUUUUGUUUCUGUCUAUUUGCUGCCUAGACCAUCAUUAUCUGGCAAGCCCUUUCUGUGAAGUUGGUUUCUUCCUAGGUAAACUGUAAGCAUCAUACCAUAGGAUUUUUUUACCAACGUUUUGUAUCCCUUUAACUAGAAAAGCAGUAUUACCCAUGAAAUAUUGAUUCUGUAAAGCAUACUGAUAAUCUGACAUCCUCUGAUGUACAGGUAAUUGUUUACAACUAAGUAAUACCCCCUCUGUAAAGUAAUAUAAGAUCUUUUAGAUCACUACUUUGGUGAUCUAAAAGAUCUUAUACCCCCUCCGUCCCUUAUUUUGGGAUGGAGGGAGUUUAAUUUACAGAGGGGGUACAUUCUAACUGUGAUUUGGCAAACCAAACCCCUUGCAUAUUUUCCAUGAAAUGCUUAUAGUGCUAUCGCAAAAUUAUUUCUGCCCUUCCUUGCACAUAAACUGUAAUAACAGAUGCAUAUAAUUUCUUGACAGGCAUUGGAGGGAUGAAUUGCCUUGUGCCAGUGAGGACUCCCAUUUAUAUCCUAUAUUCUCCAUACACCUUUAUGUGUUUUCUAACCUCGAGUCGUGAACAGGUUCCAUAUGUUUCCUAAUCCUGUUAUCUCUUGUUCCUUAUUUUUAAUACCAUUGAUAUUUACUACCUAUUACCUCCGUUUCUAAAUAUAAGUCUUUUUAGAGAUUUCAAUAUGGACUACAUACGAUGUAUAUAGACGUAUUUUAGAGUGUUGAUUCACUCAUUUUGCUUCGUAUAUAGUCCGUAUUAAAAUCUCUAAAAAGUCUUAUAUUUAGGAACGGAGGGAGUAUAUGGUUAUUUUAGUAGUUAAUGCCAAGUAAAUGUGAGUUCUGUGAAGUGAUUUUGUACAUGAAGAUUCUCGUUCCUAGGAAAUAGAGUAAAAUGCAUUAAAAGUCCUAAUAUUUUUCUGGAGGUGUCAAGUUAGUCCUAGUUCUAUAAAACUGCAUAUCUUCCUAGAACUUCAAGUCGUUCAUGUCCACAAGUGGUAGGUUGACCACCGCCACGUAGACAACAUUUCUUGCACNUGGACAGUACUAGUGACGAAUGCUUCGUUGCCUCAUCUUUGGUAGAUUACUAGGCCACAAUUUCUAAUUUAUGAGGUUUGGUGUUUGACAUGCCUGAUGGCGUUUUACUGAACUUCUGAGGAUAAAGCUUAACGUUCCAUAAAUUACAUUUUCUUUUGGUGAUUUGCUAUUAUUUUGCUGAAUACACCUUCUUCGGUUCUAAAAUCCUUGCGUGGCAAGUGUUUUUGUGUGUCAUGACUCAUGAAUACAUCUUCUUCGGUAGCACACUUGAUAUAGUCAGAGAGGAAGUGAAGCCUUUCUUUCGAGCUUCUUAAUAAGAUUGAUGCGUAUGCCAGUAGUAUUACACUAGAACUAUUUGGAUUACCACAAUUGAUUCAAAUAAUCUUUUCUGUAAGGUAUGAUGGAAUCUGAUACUAAUGUAGGAGCUAGAAUUCAUGAUAAUCUACUUGUCCAGAACUUCUUUUAUUUGUGCUUCUAUUGCUGAACUUGAAUUUUGUUUCUGUCUAUUUGCUGCCUAGACCAUCAUUAUCUGGCAAGCCCUUUCUGUGAAGUUGGUUUCUUCCUAGGUAAACUGUAAGCAUCAUACCAUAGGAUUUUUUUACCAACGUUUUGUAUCCCUUUAACUAGAAAAGCAGUAUUACCCAUGAAAUAUUGAUUCUGUAAAGCAUACUGAUAAUCUGACAUCCUCUGAUGUACAGGUAAUUGUUUACAACUAAGUAAUACCCCCUCUGUAAAGUAAUAUAAGAUCUUUUAGAUCACUACUUUGGUGAUCUAAAAGAUCUUAUACCCCCUCCGUCCCUUAUUUUGGGAUGGAGGGAGUUUAAUUUACAGAGGGGGUACAUUCUAACUGUGAUUUGGCAAACCAAACCCCUUGCAUAUUUUCCAUGAAAUGCUUAUAGUGCUAUCGCAAAAUUAUUUCUGCCCUUCCUUGCACAUAAACUGUAAUAACAGAUGCAUAUAAUUUCUUGACAGGCAUUGGAGGGAUGAAUUGCCUUGUGCCAGUGAGGACUCCCAUUUAUAUCCUAUA